UCGAGGAUCUUCGUCAAUGGGCGCAAGCCUGAACGAGCGACGCCGCGUGUGCGAUGAAGGCCUUCGGGUUGUAAAGCACUGUCGAGGGGGAUCAAGGCGCAAGCGUUGAGCGAUCCCUGGAGGAAGCACGGGCUAAGUUCGUGCCAGCAGCCGCGGUAAGACGAACCGUGCGAACGUUGUUCGGAAUCACUGGGCUUAAAGGGCGCGUAGGCGGCUCGCGAGGUCGGGGGUGAAAUCCCGCAGCUUAACUGCGGAAGUGCCUUCGAUACCGGCGGGCUGGAGGAAGGUAGGGGUGCGCGGAACUUCUGGUGGAGCGGUGAAAUGCGUUGAUAUCAGAAGGAACGCCGGCGGCGAAAGCGGCGCACUGGACCUUUUCUGACGCUGAGGCGCGAAAGCCAGGGGAGCAAACGGGAUUAGAUACCCUGGUAGUCCUGGCCCUAAACGAUGGGUACUAGGUCGUGGGCCAGUCAUGGGCUCACAGCCGAAGCAAAAGUGUUAAGUA
RNAcentral lists this ribosomal RNA (502 nucleotides) under uncultured Planctomycetota bacterium. RNAcentral describes it as "bacterial SSU rRNA". It matches the Rfam family "Bacterial small subunit ribosomal RNA", at positions 355 to 866 of the family's 1533-position model. The record is from RNAcentral. Lineage: Bacteria; Pseudomonadati; Planctomycetota.